Populus trichocarpa (black cottonwood) is the source of this 91-nucleotide non-coding RNA. NCBI's taxonomy places the organism in Eukaryota, Viridiplantae, Streptophyta, Magnoliopsida, Malpighiales, Salicaceae. The record is from Rfam.
UUAUGCCUGGCUCCCUGUAUGCCACAGCAAAGACCAAUCUCUUCUGUCUUAGAUUGGCUGCUGCCGGUGGCGUGCGAGGAGCCAAGCAUAC